UCCUACGGGAGGCAGCAGUGGGGAAUAUUGCACAAUGGGCGCAAGCCUGAUGCAGCCAUGCCGCGUGUAUGAAGAAGGCCUUAGGGUUGUAAAGUACUUUCAGUCGGGAGGAAGGUGUUAAGGUUAAUACCCUUGUCAAUUGACGUUACCGACAGA
RNAcentral lists this ribosomal RNA (156 nucleotides) under uncultured Enterobacteriaceae bacterium. Its description in RNAcentral is "partial 16S ribosomal RNA". It matches the Rfam family "Bacterial small subunit ribosomal RNA", at positions 337 to 485 of the family's 1533-position model. Lineage: Bacteria; Pseudomonadati; Pseudomonadota; Gammaproteobacteria; Enterobacterales; Enterobacteriaceae. The record is from RNAcentral.